CAGUGGCUCAANCAUUGUAGGCUUUGGAAACUGUUUAACUNGAGUGCAGAAGGGGAGAGUGGAAUUCCAUGUGUAGCGGUGAAAUGCGUAGAUAUAUGGAGGAACACCGGUGGCGAAAGCGGCUCUCUGGUCUGUAACUGACGCUGAGGCUCGAAAGCGUGGGGAGCGAACAGGAUUAGAUACCCUGGUAGUNCACGCCGUAAACGAUGAGUGCUAGGUGUUAGGUCCUUUCCGGGACUUAGUGCCGCAGCUAACGCAUUAAGCACUCCGCCUGGGGAGUACGACCGCAAGGUUGAAACUCAAAGGAAUUGACGGGGGCCCGCACAAGCGGUGGAGCAUGUGGUUUAAUUCGAAGCAACGCGAAGAACCUUACCAGGUCUUGACAUCCCGAUGCCCGCUCUAGAGAUAGAGCUUUACUUCGGUACAUCGGUGACAGGUGGUGCAUGGUUGUCGUCAGCUCGUGUCGUGAGAUGUUGGGUUAAGUCCCGCAACGAGCGCAACCCUUAUUGUUAGUUGCCAUCAUUCAGUUGGGCACUCUAGCGAGACUGCCGGUAAUAAACCGGAGGAAGGUGGGGAUGACGUCAAAUCAUCAUGCCCCUUAUGACCUGGGCUACACACGUGCUACAAUGGCUGGUACAACGAGUCGCAAGCCGGUGACGGCAAGCUAAUCUCUGAAAGCCAGUCUCAGUUCGGAUUGUAGGCUGCAACUCGCCUACAUGAAGUCGGAAUCGCUAGUAAUCGCGGAUCAGCACGCCGCGGUGAAUACGUUCCCGGGCCUUGUACACACCGCCCGUCACACCACGAGAGUUUGUAACACCCGAAGUCGGUGAGGUAACCGUA
RNAcentral lists this ribosomal RNA (840 nucleotides) under uncultured bacterium. Its description in RNAcentral is "bacterial SSU rRNA". It matches the Rfam family "Bacterial small subunit ribosomal RNA", at positions 602 to 1443 of the family's 1533-position model. The record is from RNAcentral.